UAAUACGCGUUGAGUGGAAGUAGUAAAAGAUUGAUUCAUUAGGUAUAGAGAGCUGCGGGGUGGUGAAACGUAGUCCAAUGACACUUUGAACUUGUCCAGGAGUGGUAAAUUAGUAAAAGAUACAUAAAAUUGGUUGUUUUCCUUAUCUUUUACUAAUUUAACGAUUGACCUUCGUUACAAGGUAUUAGUAUAAUUACAUGUACUAGCAAAGCAGAAUUCUCAUGUUAGAAUUAAUAAGAGUGGUACCGCGGUAGUCAAAACUCAUCGUCUCUUGU
Molecule: non-coding RNA, 275 nt
Filed under: Bacillus gobiensis
Lineage: Bacteria; Bacillati; Bacillota; Bacilli; Caryophanales; Bacillaceae
Description: T-box sequence
Rfam family: T-box leader
About the family: Uncharged tRNA acts as the effector for transcription antitermination of genes in the T-box leader family. T-boxes are found upstream of many aminoacyl-tRNA synthetase genes and some amino acid biosynthetic genes usually in Gram-positive bacteria.
Source: RNAcentral